AACGAACGCUGGCGGCAGGCCUAACACAUGCAAGUCGAACGCCCCGCAAGGGGAGUGGCAGACGGGUGAGUAACACGUGGGAACGUGCCCUAAGGUUUGGAAUAUUCCCGGGAAACUGGGAGCAAUACCAAAUGUGUCCGCAAGGAGAAAGAUUUAUCGCCUUAGGAUCGGCCCGCGUCGGAUUAGCUAGUUGGUGGGGUAAAAGCCUACCAAGGCGACGAUCCGUAGCUGGUUUGAGAGAACGACCAGCCACACUGGGACUGAGACACGGCCCAGACUCCUACGGGAGGCAGCAGUGGGGAAUCUUGGACAAUGGGCGCAAGCCUGAUCCAGCCAUGCCGCGUGAGUGAUGAAGGCCCUAGGGUUGUAAAACUCUUUCGCCGAGACGAUAAUGAC
RNAcentral lists this ribosomal RNA (396 nucleotides) under uncultured bacterium. Its description in RNAcentral is "bacterial SSU rRNA". It matches the Rfam family "Bacterial small subunit ribosomal RNA", at positions 29 to 455 of the family's 1533-position model. The record is from RNAcentral.